CGGGUGAGUAACGCGUGGAUAAUCUGCCCGAGGAUUUGGGAUAACAUCUCGAAAGGGGUGCUAAUACCGAAUAAGCCCACGGGGUCUACGGAUCUUGCGGGAAAAGGGGGGGACUUUCGGGCCUCCUGUCUUCGGAUGAGUCCGCGUACCAUUAGCUAGUUGGUGGGGUAAUGGCCUACCAAGGCGACGAUGGUUAGCUGGUCUGAGAGGAUGAUCAGCCACACUGGAACUGAGACACGGUCCAGACUCCUACGGGAGGCAGCAGUGGGGAAUUUUGCGCAAUGGGGGAAACCCUGACGCAGCAACGCCGCGUGGGUGAUGAAGGCCUUCGGGUCGUAAAGCCCUGUCGGGAGGAAAGAAAUGAUUGAGGGCUAAUACCUCUUGAUCUUGACGGUACCUCCGAAGGAAGCACCGGCUAACUCCGUGCCAGCAGCCGCGGUAAUACGGAGGGUGCAAGCGUUGUUCGGAAUUAUUGGGCGUAAAGCGCGUGUAGGCGGUCUUUUAAGUCUGAUGUGAAAGCCCCGGGCUCAACCUGGGAAGUGCAUUGGAAACUGGGAGACUUGAGUACGGGAGAGGAGAGUGGAAUUCCUAGUGUAGGAGUGAAAUCCGUAGAUAUUAGGAGGAACACCGGUGGCGAAGGCGGCUCUCUGGACCGAUACUGACGCUGAGACGCGAAAGCGUGGGUAGCAAACAGGAUUAGAUACCCUGGUAGUCCACGCCGUAAACGAUGAGUUCUAGGUGUUGCG
This 746-nucleotide ribosomal RNA is filed under the name uncultured bacterium. RNAcentral's name for it is "bacterial SSU rRNA". It matches the Rfam family "Bacterial small subunit ribosomal RNA", at positions 103 to 827 of the family's 1533-position model. The record is from RNAcentral.